UUACUACUCCCUCCGUCCGAAAAAACUUAUCAAAAUGGACAAAAAGGGGUGUAUCUAGAACUAAAAUACAUCUAAAUACAUUUCUUUUUAUUCAUUUUGAUGACAAGUAUUUCCGGACGGAGGAAGUACUAA
Triticum urartu is the source of this 132-nucleotide non-coding RNA. NCBI's taxonomy places the organism in Eukaryota, Viridiplantae, Streptophyta, Magnoliopsida, Poales, Poaceae. The record is from Rfam.